This 401-nucleotide ribosomal RNA is filed under the name uncultured Wolinella sp. RNAcentral describes it as "bacterial SSU rRNA". It matches the Rfam family "Bacterial small subunit ribosomal RNA", at positions 375 to 774 of the family's 1533-position model. The record is from RNAcentral. Lineage: Bacteria; Pseudomonadati; Campylobacterota; Epsilonproteobacteria; Campylobacterales; Helicobacteraceae.
ACGAAAGUCUGAUCCAGCGACGCCGCGUGGAGGAAGAAGUCCUUCGGGAUGUAAACUCAUGAAGCUAACGAAUAAGACGGAAGGGGAACCUUCCGGGAGAAGGUAAUUAGUGAAAAGCACCGGCUAACUCCGUGCCAGCAGCCGCGGUAAUACGGAGGGUGCAAGCGUUACUCGGAAUCACUGGGCGUAAAGAGCACGUAGGCGGCCUUGCAAGUCAGAUGUGAAAUCCAACGGCUUAACCGUUGAACUGCAUUUGAAACUGCAAGGCUAGAGUAUGGGAGAGGUAGGUGGAAUUCUCGGUGUAGGGGUAAAAUCCGUAGAGAUCGAGAGGAAUACUCAUUGCGAAGGCGACCUGCUGGAACAUUACUGACGCUGAGGUGCGAAAGCGUGGGGAGCAAACA